UAUUAAGCUAGGCUGCAGUUCUCUACAAGGACUCAAAUAUAAAAGUACAAAGUCCUUCUCAGGCCAUAUUUAGUUCGCUUUAACAGGACUGAGGUUUAAAAGAUGAGCAGAAUAAUAGAACAUAACAAAAGAAACGGAGAUGAUUAGCCAGAGGUUUGGAGAAACCACUGAAAGAAUGUGUUGCUAUGGAAGCCAAAGGGCAAAGUGACUUUGAGCAGGAGGCAGACAUUCAUGUAAGGUCCUUUGUGCAAAGCUGUGUCCACACCCAAAGUCUGAAGUGGCUCCAUUCACAAGCUUACAUGGAAUUUGGACUUGGUCAUCUUUCAUUUCGAGAAUAUGCGGAUGAAAUGGAAGCUUGGGAAGAUGGGGGGACCUGACCACAAUUACGGCAAGUCCACAUGAUUGAAUCUGUGUCUUGAAAACAGGUCAUCUGAUGCUGGGGAAUGAUUUUUUUCCACCACAGCGUACUUUCUUUCACUUCUCACAUGAUGUAUUUUCUGCAGUUUCCCUUGCUACUUUGGCUUUUUUCUUUUAGUCUGUGGUCAUUGUCAAUAAUUUCUUGGAAGUGACUUGAACCGUGUUCAGCAUUUCAGAUGUGACCUGCCUCACACCACACAUUUUGAUGUCUGCUCAUUGUUUCCAAAUUGCUACAUGAUACUGGUCAAAUUGCUUUACCUCUCUAGUGCUUGGUUUCUUUAUUUUCAAAAGAAGGG
This 713-nucleotide long non-coding RNA is filed under the name Callithrix jacchus (white-tufted-ear marmoset). Its description in RNAcentral is "lncRNA (ENSCJAG00000075613.1)". The record is from RNAcentral. Lineage: Eukaryota; Metazoa; Chordata; Mammalia; Primates; Cebidae.